AAGAAAGAAAAAUGGGCGCGAAUCUAGGAGAGGCAGGCAGGCAAGCCGGUGGACCGAAGUUUGAACGAAAGCGCCUUUUCGAAAAUCGAUAGAGAGAAGUUCGUGAGCCGUCGACUACGCUCGUGAAAGUUCGCACGGCCACUAAUCAAUCCGCGGGAGGUUUCGUGUUUAUCAACAAGUGCCGCAUACACCUGGCCUUGUUCGCGUCAGCUUCCGUGACGACGGGCUUCGUUCGUGGAUCGUCACCACGUCGUCUGGUGACCAACCCCUUUCGUCAUCAAUCCUCGUUUCGAAUCGUGUGUCGAAGGAUGACGAGGUUAAACCGCGGAACCGUGUCCUCGCGCAGCCAUCGCUUCGCUCCGUGACAAAUCGUGCGUGCUGUUCCCAUUGUUCUCGUCGAAGGUUAUCCGCCUCCUCUUCUCCUCCUCCUCCACCACUGAUAUUUCCGCCUUUUCGCCUCUCCCCAUCCCCCUCCUCUCUUCGCUUUUCUCCAUUUUCUCGUUCCCGCGAGUUCAUUGGAAUUAUUCGACUAUUAAUAACGCCGGGAUCGUUGUGUCGUUGCACGAUGGUGAUUCUUCACCGAGCCUUGUUUUUCGCCAGAUUUUCCUGAAGCUGGAGGACUGAACUGUGAGAGAAAGAGAGAAAAUAAAAAAAUCUCUUUCCCAAUCGAGCGAGUUAAACAUGGUCAGUGAAUUUUUUAUUCUCAAUUUCUCUGGAAUGGAUUAUUAAAAAUGUGUGAAAGUGAAAUGAAACGAAUCUCAAACAACACGAGCGAUGAACGAGAUAAAAACAAGAUAUAAUAUAUUCGCGUGAAAAUUAAUUAAAUUAAAAAUUAAUUUAACGUUUAACGAGCGCUUAUGUAAACGAGGCGUCGAUACGAGGUGUUUUCUCUUAUUAUAACGUGACGCGCGCGUUUUUCUUCGAGGUUUCGCGAUGCAUCGAUUAAUGAUCGAGGGAUGCGAUCGAGGAGGGUGGCAUGGAAAAUGUGGGAAAAGGGGGACGGUUUUCGGGAAGCGGCCGUCACUAUAAAUAGAGGCGCCUCAUGCGUGCGUGCUAUGCUUUUAAACAUAGUUUUGGCAGCGCGAAACGUCAAACCGCCUCGGAGUGGCAAAGCGCGUGGAUCGUUUCGCGUGGAAAUUCAAGCAUUGGCCGGACAUUCUUCCAUCUCUUCUCUGCGAUAUUUCUCCCGAUCCAAAUACCGUGACAUCGAGACAUCUCACGAAGUAUCCAGGAAUAAGAUGUGACACCGUGUGUGUGAUCGCAAUAAAAAGAAAAAAAAAAAAAAAAGAAUUAUCCGUGCCUUUGUCCAUUCGUCACGAGAGCAAAGAAAUAAGAAGUCUGUCGACAACGUGGAAUCGAAUGAAACGUGUUCAAAUUUCGAUUUGAAGAGACGUUUCGA
Long non-coding RNA from Apis florea (little honeybee), 1399 nucleotides. Lineage: Eukaryota; Metazoa; Arthropoda; Insecta; Hymenoptera; Apidae. The record is from RefSeq and is a predicted model, not a curated record.